GAUGAACGCUGGCGGCGUGCCUAAUACAUGCAAGUCGAGCGAACAGACGAGGAGCUUGCUCCUGGCUUGAGCGGCGGACGGGUGAGUAAUGCCUAGGAAUCUGCCUGGUAGUGGGGGGUAACGUCCGGAAACGGGCGCUAAUACCGCAUACGUCCUGAGUGAGACAGUGUGGGGUCUUCGGACCUCACGCUAUCAGAUGAGCCUAGGUCGGAUUAGCUAGUUGGUGGGUAAAGGCCUACCAAGACGACGAUCCGUAACUGGUCUGAGAGGAUGAUCAGUCACACUGGAACUGAGACGCGGUCCAGAGUCCUACGGGAGGCAGCAGUCGGGAAUAUUGGACAAAGGGCGAAAGCCUGAUCCAGUCAGGCCGCGUGUGUGAAGAAGGUCUUCGGAUUGUAAAGAACUCUAAGUUGGGAGGAAGGGCAGUAAGCUAAUACCUUGCUGUUUUGACGUUACCAACAGAAUAAGCACCGGCUAACUUCGUG
Molecule: ribosomal RNA, 485 nt
Filed under: uncultured bacterium
Lineage: Bacteria
Description: partial 16S ribosomal RNA
Rfam family: Bacterial small subunit ribosomal RNA
Source: RNAcentral